UGGUUGAAUUCAUGGAAGCUGAACAAGCUUUAGAAAAGUCAGGAAAAAACUGGCCAAGUUCGAGCAGUGAAAUGGAAAACACUUUAUUUGUUACGUCUCAAAAUGCUGCUGAAUAUGCUGACAGCAUUCUUCAACUCGUCAAGUAUAUAAAUCAUUGGGCUCCCAAGGACGAAAAAUAAUACUUACAAAAAUUAUUUUGUAAUAAAUUGUAUUUUCUAUGGAGCAAGAGAAAAUAAUAUAAUUGUGAUUAAUUUGUUUUGGCGUGCUUACCUUAUUCAAAAUAAUAAUUACAGAAAAUAUGUUUUACAAUAAA
Helicoverpa armigera (cotton bollworm) is the source of this 313-nucleotide long non-coding RNA. RefSeq lists it as uncharacterized. The transcript is spliced from 3 exons. The record is from RefSeq and is a predicted model, not a curated record. NCBI's taxonomy places the organism in Eukaryota, Metazoa, Arthropoda, Insecta, Lepidoptera, Noctuidae.